Molecule: transfer RNA, 73 nt
Filed under: Nocardia sp. alder85J
Lineage: Bacteria; Bacillati; Actinomycetota; Actinomycetes; Mycobacteriales; Nocardiaceae
Description: tRNA-Trp
Rfam family: tRNA
About the family: Transfer RNA (tRNA) molecules are approximately 80 nucleotides in length. Their secondary structure includes four short double-helical elements and three loops (D, anti-codon, and T loops). Further hydrogen bonds mediate the characteristic L-shaped molecular structure. tRNAs have two regions of fundamental functional importance: the anti-codon, which is responsible for specific mRNA codon recognition, and the 3' end, to which the tRNAs corresponding amino acid is attached (by aminoacyl-tRNA synthetases). tRNAs cope with the degeneracy of the genetic code in two manners: having more than one tRNA (with a specific anti-codon) for a particular amino acid; and 'wobble' base-pairing, i.e. permitting non-standard base-pairing at the 3rd anti-codon position.
Source: RNAcentral
GUGGACGUAGCUCAAUCGGAAGAGCGACGGUCUCCAAAGCCGUGCGUUGGGGGUUCGAAUCCCUCCGUCCGCG